UGAGAAGACAAAAGUGUGACUUAAUUCCACCACUGACCCACCUUUCCAACUAGCAAAAGUCUCCGGGCCGCAGUUUUCCCAUCUAAAGACGGAGCCAGUGACUGUUCUUGUGGUGAAGACGCAGUGAAACAGUGUGCGAAGCGGAAUAUUUUUAAAGUGGCUGUAAAGAAAGAAAAAUUCUAAAUAAUAUCACCUAUGUGGAAAAUAAAACAGAACUGAGAGAAAAAGCGCGGUGGUUGCUAGGGCCUGCAAGUGGGAGAAAUGGGGAAGAUGCGGGUCAAAGGGUACAAAGUUGAGUAAGUUCUGGGGAUCUAGUGUGCAGCUUGGUAACUGUAGUUAAUGACACUAAUGUGUACUUGAAAUUUGCCGAGAAUGAAACAAGUGUUCUCAGCACACAAAUGCAAGGUGAUGGAAAUGUUAAUUUGCUUUAUGGUGGCAAUCGUUUCAUAAUGUGUAUCAAAACAUCACAUUGUACACCUUAGAUUAUACAAUAUUUUUAUUUACUUCGGUAAAGCUGGAAAAACAAAAUGGCUGUAAAGAGUGGUGCUGAAGUAAGGUAUAUUUAACACAUACAUAUAUACUGUGGAAUUGGCACUAUAGUAAAUGGUUAACAAGUAAUUUAUUUAAUUCUCUUAAUUGAAGUAGGCAUACUAUUUUUAUCUUCUCUUUAUAGGCAAGAAAACUGAGGCACAGACAGAUUGUCACACAGCCAGUGAGGUGUUGAUGCCCUCUAAGGCUCAUGCGCGUCAGUGUUUGUGAACAGUAGUAGACCCUUGCCUGCUUUGAUCAUCUCAUCUGUGGGAUCAGGUUUCUUUCAAAAUGAAGAUUCACUCAGUGGUUGUAGCUGUCUUGAUAAGCCAGGUUCUAGUUUACGAAGUUUUAUUCCAGAGGGAAAAAAGCCACUUCACCUAGAAAUCUUCCAAACAAAUCAACUUUUGCUCUGUGAGUAAUCCAGGCUAUCAAGACUACAUUUUAGCUGACGGCAAGGCCUCUGAGGCACGGAAAUUCACAGCUGAGUUCUUGGAG
RNAcentral lists this long non-coding RNA (1026 nucleotides) under Macaca fascicularis (crab-eating macaque). RNAcentral's name for it is "lncRNA (ENSMFAG00000048155.1)". Lineage: Eukaryota; Metazoa; Chordata; Mammalia; Primates; Cercopithecidae. The record is from RNAcentral.